UACGAAGGUGGCAAGCGUUGUUCGGAUUUACUGGGCGUACAGGGAGCGUAGGCGGUUGGAUAAGCCCUCCGUGAAAUCUCCAGGCUUAACCUGGAAAGUGCAGAGGGGACUGUUCAGCUAGAGGAUGGGAGAGGAGCGCGGAAUUCCCGGUGUAGCGGUGAAAUGCGUAGAGAUCGGGAGGAAGGCCGGUGGCGAAGGCGGCGCUCUGGAACAUUUCUGACGCUGAGGCUCGAAAGCGUGGGGAG
RNAcentral lists this ribosomal RNA (245 nucleotides) under uncultured bacterium. RNAcentral's name for it is "partial 16S ribosomal RNA". It matches the Rfam family "Bacterial small subunit ribosomal RNA", at positions 524 to 768 of the family's 1533-position model. The record is from RNAcentral.